This 469-nucleotide ribosomal RNA is filed under the name uncultured bacterium. RNAcentral describes it as "bacterial SSU rRNA". It matches the Rfam family "Bacterial small subunit ribosomal RNA", at positions 335 to 802 of the family's 1533-position model. The record is from RNAcentral.
ACUCCUACGGGAGGCAGCAGUGGGGAAUAUUGCACAAUGGGGGAAACCCUGAUGCAGCCAUGCCGCGUGUGUGAAGAAGGCCUUGGGUUGUAAAGCACUUUCAGUAGGGAGGAAGGUAGUGUAGUUAACACCUGCAUUAUUUGACGUUACCUACAGAAGAAGCACCGGCUAACUCCGUGCCAGCAGCCGCGGUAAUACGGAGGGUGCGAGCGUUAAUCGGAAUUACUGGGCGUAAAGCGCAUGCAGGCGGCUUGUUAAGUCAGAUGUGAAAGCCCGGGGCUUAACCUCGGAAUUGCAUUUGAAACUGGCAGGCUAGAGUCUUGUAGAGGGGUAGAAUUUCAGGUGUAGCGGUGAAAUGCGUAGAGAUCUGAAGGAAUACCAGUGGCGAAGGCGGCCCCUGGACAAAGACUGACGCUCAGAUGCGAAAGCGUGGGAGCAAACAGGAUUAGAUACCCCUGGUAGACUGUCA